GAGCGGGAGACAGACAGGCAUUAGGUUUUCAAUGAAUUCAAGGACAGAGGGCUUUUUUUCAACAAUGAAAUACUAUGUUUAAUAUUAGAGGGAAUCUCCUGUUGAAGAAUAAGGAGAACUUGGCCAUUGGUACAAGAAUCUUAUAAUCUUCAGAAUAAGGAGGUCCCUGAAAACUAGUAUAGCCAAAGUCCGGUGCUGGGUCAUUGAGUGGUUACCCAAGACAGUAUAUUUGUUUAGUCACUAGGCUUCUAUGCCUUUAGGAGCAAUCUGGAUCAUGCAUAUGGAGAAAGAGAAGGAUGAUUGAAUGGGCCUCAAUGCAAUAGCUUUGGAUGGCAUCACCUAUACCCUCAGGAAUGCAAAGCUGCCAUUAUUGAUGAGAAGCAUGUAGCAACCCUGGAGUUCCUUCUGCCAGUACUGAGGGUGCUGUCUAACACUACNGUGGUGGUGAACCUGCUCGAAUCCAUUGUCCAAGGAAAAUUGCACUGGUGAGAUGUAUUCAGCAGAAAAGAUAUGAGGAAAAUAAACACUGCUAGGCCAUGUGGAUAUAGAAAAGUAAAAUUGUGAAGGCCACCUAACCAGAUGCUGGUAAAACUGGAAGUUACAAAUGGUUCAAAUCUGACACUUGAUGAACUUGUCUGGCCUUUUCUUUCGCAAAUCUGUGUGAAGAGACAUCAUGGCAGCGGAGACCUUAGUCAUAAAGAACCCCUGCUGCUGAGAAAUAUGAUAACUACAAUUUUCAAAAAUGCCUUUGGUAGAAUUGGAGAGCUUUGCUAAUGGGUUGAAAAUUGCAGCCUCCAGGCUUCCUGGAUUUAAUGGCAUUUUGACAUGCUCAGAGUUACUCAGAUCUGUCACACAAGAUGAAUUCCAAGAGGGCCAGGCUUACAAUCUCCCUGGUCUUUUUAUAAAAUAGAUGAUCUAUCAGUUUGAUCAACACAUCCUUUGUGCUAAGACCCCUUUGUGCCAAACCAUACUGAAAUGGACCCACAUAGUUAUAUUUUCAGGGGACGUUUGGCUGUCAGUAACUAGAAGAAGGUCAGUUCAGCUCUUUUGUGCAGCAUAAUUUGAAAAAAGAAGAGCCCAGGAUUAAAGUAGGCAUUUCUGCUUUCUUUAAUUUCUACUAAUUACUAUUUUCUUUUCUUUUUACUAAUUUAUAAGAUCCCUCUAAAAGGCUGUUAAUGCUCGCAGUGCCAAGUGAUUAAAGAACCAAUAUGAGAUGAAGUCACCAUGAAUGCAUGUACAUUGCCAGCAUCUUAUAUUAUAAAUUGAUGCUUUCCUUUCAUCUCAUUGACAUACACAUUCAGAAUUGAAACUUGAGACAUUUAUUUCAAGUUUAUUCAAAUGGAU
RNAcentral lists this long non-coding RNA (1344 nucleotides) under Salvator merianae (Argentine black and white tegu). Its description in RNAcentral is "lncRNA (ENSSMRG00000022549.1)". The record is from RNAcentral. Lineage: Eukaryota; Metazoa; Chordata; Lepidosauria; Squamata; Teiidae.